ACCACAUCAACAACAGACACAUCAACUUCAACAGCAACCAUAUCAACAACAAACACAUCAACUCCAACAACCACAGCAUCUACUACUUCAAAUUCGACCAGUGCAACCACAGGAUCUUCCACCACUCUUAGUACUUCAACUCGUAACCCGUACCCCAUACGUAUCGGCGUGCGAGUUUUGGUCAAAUCUUCUCUGGGGCUGAAUGUAACCCAAGCGAACGCCAUCGUCCAGCAGUACUUAUCCCAGCUAAACCUCCCAACAUCCUACGGUGUAACCGCCAAUGUAACGCGUGUUAAACAAGUAUGAAGAGCUCUGGAUAUUCCCAAUGUCCUCGAUCUGUUUUACAUUUUUUUUAAUUUUCAUAUCUAUUUGAGAUCAUUUGUGCUUCUGUAAUUAAUUUAAAUUUACUUAUAUAUAAUUGCAUUUGCAUGAGAUUUUAAUAUUAAAGUUUAGGAACAAUUUAUGGUAAAAUGUACAUUGUAUAAUAGUUAAAACUGAUAGUAACUGGUGGUGGAUAGUAAAUAGUUAAAAUGUAAUUUAUCAAUUAUGAAUGAAGCAAAAACCUUUAUUCAAAAGAAUAAAUUGAUAAAUCCUGAACAAUGAGAAUGUUUUGUCUUUUGCUGCUUUCUUAAUAAAGUAUUUGAGGUUUCUG
Molecule: long non-coding RNA, 652 nt
Organism: Silurus meridionalis
Lineage: Eukaryota; Metazoa; Chordata; Actinopteri; Siluriformes; Siluridae
Exons: 4
Source: RefSeq, a predicted model, not a curated record